AUUUGCGUUCCCAGCAAGUUCCCGGGUGAUGGGGGCGCUGCCCGUCGUGGGCGCCGCUUGGAGAAGCCCCGGUUUAGGAUCGUAGCUUAAGAACUAGCACCACCUCCCGCAGCUGUCAUCGCCUCCUGGGGUGGGGGGCGGGGGGCAGACCUGAACCUGUGCUUUCCGUGGGAGCUCUGGGCUCCACCCCUGCAGGUGCGGAGGGAAGCAGGAGCUAGAGUUGGGGCUCGGUAACAUUCCCCAAUGUCGGCGGUGACGCUGGGACACGCUCAAGGCUGGUGAGUGGGAAUAGGGGAUGGAGGGCAAAACAAAGUCUCACACGUUUUCAAAGAAACCCCUCCGCACGCGCAUCCUCGCGCUUGCCUUUCGGAAGGCGGUCCCCCGGGUCCUGCCUCCGAUGUCCAGGGCACCUUCCCCGCGGCACCCCCCAGCGCCCCCAAACUCUGCCGACCCGCGCCCCACAGCCCGGCCAACCCCACCGAGGCAGGCGACGCGCACCGGGAGGGGCUGGGUCUGCGGAAGCGCUGCGCUCGGACCUGAACUGUAAGUGGCUUUCCCACCCGCGUCCCCGCGUCGGGACUCCAGUCACCCCGGAGCCACCCGCAACGGCGGCCGAGGCUUCCUCCCGCGGACCCGGCGCCGAACUCACGGCUCGGGGCGGACAGGAGGAUGCAAAGGCAGCCACAGGUGUGUAAAAUAGGACAGCCUCUCUAGGAAAAUGCAAGCAAGCAAACUGUGGGACAUCUAUGCCGUGGACUACUACUGAGGUAUCAAAGGAAUGACACAUGCAACAACCUGGGUUGUCUCUUCGUUUCCUCAGGCUUUCCACAUUUCCCAUUAGAAAGGGAGUCAUCCUGCCUCAACUUCAGGAUCUGUACCUUAUGAACGACUCCAGUGAGUCCACGUCGCCCAGUCUCAGUGUCCGGUUUGCCCCAGCAGAGCUGAGUAGUGCACUGGAAACUUGUGUGUGCAAAAUGGCAAUGGGAACAUGGUCGGAACGAAAGAAAAGGGGAAAGUACUGCAGAAAAUGCUGUGCUGUGUUUGGACGUGAGAGAGCCAAGUCUGGCUCCAGCACUUCUGCUAGAGGCCUCAGAAAGUCUGUCUCCAAGAGUCUCGAUUUUCCGUCCCCGAAAACAGAGUGGACCUCACAAGGGCCAUGUGAGGAGCAAAUAAGAAAACAUAGAUAAGCCGAAACCGGUUUGGCUCAGUGGAUAGAGCGUCAGCCUGCAGACUGAAAGGUCCCAGGUUCGAUUCCGGUCGGGGGCAUGUA
Molecule: long non-coding RNA, 1270 nt
Organism: Myotis myotis
Lineage: Eukaryota; Metazoa; Chordata; Mammalia; Chiroptera; Vespertilionidae
Exons: 3
Source: RefSeq, a predicted model, not a curated record